UACGGGGGGGGUAAGCGUUGUUCGGAAUUACUGGGCGUAAAGGGCUCGUAGGCGGCCAACUAAGUCAGACGUGAAAUCCCUCGGCUUAACCGGGGAACUGCGUCUGAUACUGGAUGGCUUGAGUUUGGGAGAGGGAUGCGGAAUUCCAGGUGUAGCGGUGAAAUGCGUAGAUAUCUGGAGGAACACCGGUGGCGAAGGCGGCAUCCUGGACCAACACUGACGCUGAGUGAGCGAAAGCCAGGGGAGCAAACGGGG
This 255-nucleotide ribosomal RNA is filed under the name uncultured bacterium. Its description in RNAcentral is "partial 16S ribosomal RNA". It matches the Rfam family "Bacterial small subunit ribosomal RNA", at positions 524 to 777 of the family's 1533-position model. The record is from RNAcentral.